CCUACGGGUGGCAGCAGGGGGGAAUAUUGCACAAUGGGGGAAAGCGUGAGGCAGCGACGCCGCGUGAGGGAUGAAGGACGUCGGAAUGGAAAGCUCUAUCAGCAGGGAAGAAAAGUACGGUACCUGACCAAGACUCCCCGGCUAACGCCGGGCCAGCAGCCACGGUAACACGCCGGGCGCAAGCGUUAUCCGGAUUGACUGGGGGUAACGGGAGCGGAGACGGUUCGUCGAGUCGGAUGUGAAAGCCGGGGGCUCAACCCGGGGACUGCAUUUGAAACUGUCAGGCUAGAGUGUGGUAGAGGUAGGCGGAAUUCCUGGUGUAGCGGUGAAAUGCGUAGAUAUUAGGCGGAACACCAGUGGCGAAGGCGGUCUGCUGGACGGUGACUGACGUUGAGGCACGAAAGCGUGGGUAGCAAACAGGAUUAGAUACCCUUGUAGUC
RNAcentral lists this ribosomal RNA (440 nucleotides) under uncultured bacterium. RNAcentral's name for it is "partial 16S ribosomal RNA". It matches the Rfam family "Bacterial small subunit ribosomal RNA", at positions 338 to 795 of the family's 1533-position model. The record is from RNAcentral.